AAUUUAUUAGUUUAAAUAAAACAUUACAUUUUCAUUGUAAAAAUAAAUUUCUAUUUUAUAAAUUA
RNAcentral lists this transfer RNA (65 nucleotides) under Onthophagus crassicollis. RNAcentral describes it as "tRNA-Glu". The record is from RNAcentral. Lineage: Eukaryota; Metazoa; Arthropoda; Insecta; Coleoptera; Scarabaeidae.